ACGAACGCUGGCGGCGUGCCUAACACAUGCAAGUCGAGCGGAGAAUGCGGACAUGUUUACAUGGAAGUAUUCUUAGCGGCGGACGGGUGAGUAACACGUGGGUAACCUGCCUCAAAGAGGGGGAUAGCCUUCCGAAAGGAAGAUUAAUACCGCAUAAGCCUGCAGUACCGCAUGGUACAGCAGGAAAAGGAGCAAUCCGCUUUGAGAUGGACCCGCGGCGCAUUAGCUAGUUGGUGAGGUAACGGCUCACCAAGGCGACGAUGCGUAGCCGACCUGAGAGGGUGAUCGGCCACAUUGGAACUGAGACACGGUCCAGACUCCUACGGGAGGCAGCAGUGGGGAAUAUUGCACAAUGGGCGAAAGCCUGAUGCCAGCAACGCCGCGUGAAUGAUGAAGGCCUUCGGGUCGUAAAGUUCUUUGAUCAGGGAUGAUAAUGACAGUACCUGAAAACAAGCCACGGCUAACUACGUGCCAGCCGCAGC
RNAcentral lists this ribosomal RNA (482 nucleotides) under uncultured bacterium. RNAcentral's name for it is "bacterial SSU rRNA". It matches the Rfam family "Bacterial small subunit ribosomal RNA", at positions 29 to 518 of the family's 1533-position model. The record is from RNAcentral.